RNAcentral lists this unclassified non-coding RNA (254 nucleotides) under uncultured fungus. RNAcentral describes it as "partial contains 5.8S ribosomal RNA, internal transcribed spacer 2, and large subunit ribosomal RNA". The record is from RNAcentral. Lineage: Eukaryota; Fungi.
AACGCACAUUGCGCCCGCCAGCACUCUGGCGGGCAUGCCUGUCCGAGCGUCAUUUCACCCCUCGAGCCCGCCUCGGUGUUGGGGGACCACGGCCCAGCGCCGCCCCCGAAAUGCAGUGGCGACCCCGCCGCGGACCCCCCUGCGCAGUAGCUCCCAGAGAACCUCGCACCGGAGACGCGGAGGCGGUCACGCCGUAAAACGCCCCCCCUUCGAAAGUUGACCUCGGAUCAGGUAGGGAUACCCGCUGAACUUAA